AUUGAACGCUGGCGGAAUGCUUUACACAUGCAAGUCGAACGGCGGCACGGGGGCAACCCUGGUGGCGAGUGGCGAACGGGUGAGUAAUAUAUCGGAACGUGCCCAGUCGUGGGGGAUAACGUAGCGAAAGUUACGCUAAUACCGCAUACGAUCUACGGAUGAAAGCGGGGGAUCGCAAGACCUCGCGCGAUUGGAGCGGCCGAUAUCAGAUUAGGUAGUUGGGGGGGUAAAGGCUCACCAAGCCAACGAUCUGGAGCUGGUCUGAGAGGACGACCAGCCACACUGGGACUGAGACACGGCCCAGACUCCUACGGGAGGCAGCAGUGGGGAAUUUUGGACAAUGGGCGCAAGCCUGAUCCAGCCAUUCCGCGUGCAGGACGAAGGCCUUCGGGUUGUAAACUGCUUUUGUACGGAACGAAAAAGCCUUGGCUAAUACCCAGGGUCCAUGACGGUACCGUAAGAAUAAGCACCGGCUAACUACGUGCCAGCCGCCGCGGUAA
RNAcentral lists this ribosomal RNA (500 nucleotides) under uncultured bacterium. RNAcentral describes it as "partial 16S ribosomal RNA". It matches the Rfam family "Bacterial small subunit ribosomal RNA", at positions 29 to 523 of the family's 1533-position model. The record is from RNAcentral.